GACGAACGCUGGCGGCGUGCUUAACACAUGCAAGUCGAGCGGUAAGGCCCUUUCGGGGGUACACGAGCGGCGAACGGGUGAGUAACACGUGGGUGACCUGCCCUCAGCUCUGGGAUAAGCCUGGGAAACCGGGUCUAAUACUGGAUAUGACUCCAUGACGCAUGUUGUGGGGUGGAAAGCCUUGUGCGGCUGAGGAUGGGCCCGCGGCCUAUCAGCUUGUUGGUGGGGUGANGGCCUACCAAGGCGACGACGGGUAGCCGGCCUGAGAGGGCGACCGGCCACACUGGGACUGAGACACGGCCCAGACUCCUACGGGAGGGCAGCAGUGGGGAAUCUUGCGCAAUGGGCGAAAGCCUGACGCAGCGACGCCGCGUGAGGGA
RNAcentral lists this ribosomal RNA (380 nucleotides) under uncultured bacterium. RNAcentral's name for it is "bacterial SSU rRNA". It matches the Rfam family "Bacterial small subunit ribosomal RNA", at positions 28 to 408 of the family's 1533-position model. The record is from RNAcentral.